RNAcentral lists this ribosomal RNA (791 nucleotides) under uncultured archaeon. RNAcentral describes it as "bacterial SSU rRNA". It matches the Rfam family "Archaeal small subunit ribosomal RNA", at positions 90 to 859 of the family's 1478-position model. The record is from RNAcentral.
UGAGUAACACGCGGAUAAUCUGCCCUGGAGUGGGGGAAAUCUCGGGAAACUGAGGAUAAUACCCCAUAGGUGUGGUGUGCUGGAAUGCUUCCACGCUCAAAGCUCCGGCGCUCCAGGAUGAGUCUGCGGCCUAUCAGGCUGUAGUGGGUGUAACGGACCCACUAACCGACGACGGGUAGGGGCGUUGAGAGACGGAGCCCCCAGAUGGAUUCUGAGACACGAAUCCAGGCCCUACGGGGCGCAGCAGCUACGAAAACUGUGCAAUGUGGGGAAACCACGACACGGGCAUACCGAGUGCCAAGGCUUUUGCUUUGCCUGUUCUUUUCGCCUAAAAAGCGAGAGAAGUAAGGGCCGGGUAAAACGGGUGCAACCCCCCGCGGUAAUACCCGCGGCCCGAGGGGGGGCUCAUUAUUUUUUGAGCUUAAAGCGUCCGUAGCCGGCCUCGUAAAUCUUUUGGGUAAAUCGGGCAGCUUAACUGUUCCGAAUUCCCGAGGAGACUGCAAGGUUUGGGACCGGGAAAAGGUUCGAGGAACUCCGGGGGGUAGGGGUUAAAAUCCCUGAAAUCCUCAGAGGACCACCCAGUGGCCGAAGGCUUCGAACUAGAACGGAUCCAACGGUGAGGGACGAAACCCCUGGGGCCGCAAACGGGAUUAGAAUCCCCCGGUAGUCCCAGGGUGUAAAACGCUGCGGGCUUGGUGGUCGAAGGUCUCUACGUGGGCUUCCCGGUGCCGGAAAAGAAAUUGUUAAGCCCUGCCUGCUUGGGGGAGAACGGUCGCAAGACUGAAACUUAA